This is a long non-coding RNA of Culex quinquefasciatus (southern house mosquito), 301 nucleotides long. RefSeq lists it as uncharacterized. The record is from RefSeq and is a predicted model, not a curated record. Lineage: Eukaryota; Metazoa; Arthropoda; Insecta; Diptera; Culicidae. The transcript is spliced from 4 exons.
GUGCGAACGGAAGAGGUUGAUUUUGUGCGUUGGAGAAAGAAAAACGGCUGCGUUGUUCAAAUUUAUAUUAUCUUUGUGCAACUGCACUAGAAUACCAAAGGAGAACUGCUCUUCUUCUCAACUGCUCUGCAAAAGGGCCCAAAUUUGUAGGUUACCUGUGCUUGCCCGCAAGUCCGGCGAGAAUUGUCAUUGGGUGUUGAAGUCAGAGUUGUACUAGGGUGACCGAUCUUUUAGCAAUACUUACCCUAAAAAUCAACGGUGUGUUAUUCGCUGAAAAGAAGCCCGAAAACUCGUCCCAACA